GCUUUGGUAGCUUCAGGUGGAAUGACCUGGCCCUCCAUGAAUGAGUGUUGAGGUUGGACACACGGCUGCCACUUCUCUGUACUGCUCCCCACAGCUUAGCCUCAUCUGCAAACUUCGGAGGGAUCAGUCCAUAUGAGUACAUAUGUGUUGUCAGUAAAUAGACUUUUCCAGAGCUGCCAGUAUCAGCUGGUGCUCUGUGCUUGUGCUUCUCUUUGGCUCUCUCUGCCUCCUGGUCCCAAAGGCUCUUGGCGUGGAUAUGGGGAUAGCCAGCUGUAUUGAAAAAGGAUGACUACACAACAAAAGAAGAAAGGUGAGGGUCACCUUCAAGGGGAAAGGGUUGAGUUCUGGCCACUGAUUUGCUGAGUGACCUUUGACAAAUCGCUGUACCUUGCUGGUCUCCUAAAUGGGGUGACCAUGGGAGCAGAUUCUCCACGUUCUGGACUUGGCACUCUUCUCAUCUGACUGCACAGUAUGUUUUGGGGUUCUCAUCUACCACCACCCAGGGCUGAUGGCUCCCAAAUCUAAGUUCUGGCCCAGACUCCUUUCCCCAGGUCCACACUCAUGUGUUCAACCAGUUGUUGGACAAUUCCUCUGGGCUUUCCCAAAGGCCCCAAAUUAAACUAAUCUUCUUCUUGUUUAAAUCAAACAAAUUUAAACAAAUUAAAUUAAUUUUCCCUGCAAACCUCUUCCGCUUCCUUUUUAUGCCAUGUCUUGGGGAAUCACAUCACCAUGUCAGGAAUCUUAUGUCAUUCCUUCCUCCCCUACCUUUGCACCUGAGAUCCUAGUGGUCACCAAGUCCCUUCUCUCCUGUGCAUCCCCCUCCUUGUAUUCCCACCACUACUGCCCUAGUUGGCACCUCAUUAAUUCCCACUGGAAUCACUGCAAAUGCUUCAUAACUGAUCUUUCUAUCUGACUUCAUUCUCCACACAUCCUGCAGCAUGAACUUUUUGAAGCACAGAUUUGUGAAUGCCUGUGCUCUGCUUAAAAGCAAUCAGAGGCCCCUCACUAAUAAGGAAUGAAAUUCAAACUCCUGG
Molecule: long non-coding RNA, 1034 nt
Filed under: Homo sapiens (human)
Lineage: Eukaryota; Metazoa; Chordata; Mammalia; Primates; Hominidae
Description: HSALNT0015133
Source: RNAcentral